Molecule: ribosomal RNA, 254 nt
Filed under: uncultured bacterium
Lineage: Bacteria
Description: partial 16S ribosomal RNA
Rfam family: Bacterial small subunit ribosomal RNA
Source: RNAcentral
CACGUAGGGUGCGAGCGUUGUCCGAAAUUAUUGGGCGUAAAGAGCUCGUAGGCGGUGUGUCGCGUCGGCCGUGAAAACCUGCAGCUUAACUGUGGGCUUGCGGUCGAUACGGGCAUCACUGGAGUUCGGCAGGGGAGACUGGAAUUCCUGGUGUAGCGGUGAAAUGCGCAGAUAUCAGGAGGAACACCGGUGGCGAAGGCGGGUCUCUGGGCCGAUACUGACGCUGAGAAGCGAAAGCAUGGGGAGCGAACAGG